UGUUUCGGCUAGGGGGCCAUCCCGGCUUACCAACCCGAUGCAAACUGCGAAUACCGGAGAAUGUUAUCACGGGAGACACACGGCGGGUGCUAACGUCCGUCGUGAAGAGGGAAACAACCCAGACCGCCAGCUAAGGUCCCAAAGUCAUGGUUAAGUGGGAAACGAUGUGGGAAGGCCCAGACAGCCAGGAUGUUGGCUUAGAAGCAGCCAUCAUUUAAAGAAAGCGUAAUAGCUCACUGGUCGAGUCGGCCUGCGCGGAAGAUGUAACGGGGCUAAACCAUGCACCGAAGCUGCGGCAGCGACGCUCAGGCGUUGUUGGGUAGGGGAGCGUUCUGUAAGCCUGUGAAGGUGGCCUGUGAGGGUUGCUGGAGGUAUCAGAAGUGCGAAUGCUGACAUAAGUAACGAUAAAGCGGGUGAAAAGCCCGCUCGCCGGAAGACCAAGGGUUCCUGUCCAACGUUAAUCGGGGCAGGGUGAGUCGACCCCUAAGGCGAGGCCGAAAGGCGUAGUCGAUGGGAAACGGGUUAAUAUUCCCGUACUUGGUGUUACUGCGAAGGGGGGACGGAGAAGGCUAUGUUGGCCGGGCGACGGUUGUCCCGGUUUAAGCGUGUAGGUGUGUGUUCCAGGUAAAUCCGGUUCACUUUAACACUGAGGCGUGACGACGAGGCACUACGGUGCUGAAGCAACAAAUGCCCUGCUUCCAGGAAAAGCCUCUAAGCAUCAGGUAACAUCAAAUCGUACCCCAAACCGACACAGGUGGUCAGGUAGAGAAUACCAAGGCGCUUGAGAGAACUCGGGUGAAGGAACUAGGCAAAAUGGUGCCGUAACUUCGGGAGAAGGCACGCUGACACGUAGGUGAAGUGAUUUACUCAUGGAGCUGAAGUCAGUCGAAGAUACCAGCUGGCUGCAACUGUUUAUUAAAAACACAGCACUGUGCAAACACGAAAGUGGACGUAUACGGUGUGACGCCUGCCCGGUGCCGGAAGGUUAAUUGAUGGGGUCAGCGCAAGCGAAGCUCCUGAUCGAAGCCCCGGUAAACGGCGGCCGUAACUAUAACGGUCCUAAGGUAGCGAAAUUCCUUGUCGGGUAAGUUCCGACCUGCACGAAUGGCGUAAUGAUGGCCAGGCUGUCUCCACCCGAGACUCAGUGAAAUUGAACUCGCUGUGAAGAUGCAGUGUACCCGCGGCAAGACGGAAAGACCCCGUGAACCUUUACUAUAGCUUGACACUGAACAUUGAGCCUUGAUGUGUAGGAUAGGUGGGAGGCUUUGAAGCGUGGACGCCAGUCUGCGUGGAGCCGACCUUGAAAUACCACCCUUUAAUGUUU
RNAcentral lists this ribosomal RNA (1324 nucleotides) under Salmonella enterica. RNAcentral describes it as "partial 23S ribosomal RNA". It matches the Rfam family "Bacterial large subunit ribosomal RNA", at positions 911 to 2215 of the family's 2925-position model. The record is from RNAcentral. RNAcentral also lists the same sequence under 1 other name. Lineage: Bacteria; Pseudomonadati; Pseudomonadota; Gammaproteobacteria; Enterobacterales; Enterobacteriaceae.